UAUUUGGUGUGCGAGCGUUAAUCGGAAUAACUGGGCGUAAAGGGCACGCAGGCGGACUUUUAAGUGAGGUGUGAAAUCCCCGGGCUUAACCUGGGAAUUGCAUUUCAUACUGGGAGUCUAGAGUACUUUAGGGAGGGGUAGAAUUCCACGUGUAGCGGUGAAAUGCGUAGAGAUGUGGAGGAAUACCGAAGGCGAAGGCAGCCCCUUGGGAAUGUACUGACGCUCAUGUGCGAAAGCGUGGGGAGCAAACAGG
This 253-nucleotide ribosomal RNA is filed under the name uncultured bacterium. RNAcentral's name for it is "partial 16S ribosomal RNA". It matches the Rfam family "Bacterial small subunit ribosomal RNA", at positions 524 to 776 of the family's 1533-position model. The record is from RNAcentral.